AGAGUUUGAAUCCUGGCUCAGGACGAACGCUGGCGGCGUGCCUAAUACAUGCAAGUCGAACGAACUCUGGUAUUGAUUGGUGCUUGCAUCAUGAUUUACAUUUGAGUGAGUGGCGAACUGGUGAGUAACACGUGGGAAACCUGCCCAGAAGCGGGGGAUAACACCUGGAAACAGAUGCUAAUACCGCAUAACAACUUGGACCGCAUGGUCCGAGCUUGAAAGAUGGCUUCGGCUAUCACUUUUGGAUGGUCCCGCGGCGUAUUAGCUAGAUGGUGGGGUAACGGCUCACCAUGGCAAUGAUACGUAGCCGACCUGAGAGGGUAAUCGGCCACAUUGGGACUGAGACACGGCCCAAACUCCUACGGGAGGCAGCAGUAGGGAAUCUUCCACAAUGGACGAAAGUCUGAUGGAGCAACGCCGCGUGAGUGAAGAAGGGUUUCGGCUCGUAAAACUCUGUUGUUAAAGAAGAACAUAUCUGAGAGUAACUGUUCAGGUAUUGACGGUAUUUAACCAGAAAGCCACGGCUAACUACGUGCCAGCAGCCGCGGUAAUACGUAGGUGGCAAGCGUUGUCCGGAUUUAUUGGGCGUAAAGCGAGCGCAGGCGGUUUUUUAAGUCUGAUGUGAAAGCCUUCGGCUCAACCGAAGAAGUGCAUCGGAAACUGGGAAACUUGAGUGCAGAAGAGGACAGUGGAACUCCAUGUGUAGCGGUGAAAUGCGUAGAUAUAUGGAAGAACACCAGUGGCGAAGGCGGCUGUCUGGUCUGUAACUGACGCUGAGGCUCGAAAGUAUGGGUAGCAAACAGGAUUAGAUACCCUGGUAGUCCAUACCGUAAACGAUGAAUGCUAAGUGUUGGAGGGUUUCCGCCCUUCAGUGCUGCAGCUAACGCAUUAAGCAUUCCGCCUGGGGAGUACGGCCGCAAGGCUGAAACUCAAAGGAAUUGACGGGGGCCCGCACAAGCGGUGGAGCAUGUGGUUUAAUUCGAAGCUACGCGAAGAACCUUACCAGGUCUUGACAUACUAUGCAAAUCUAAGAGAUUAGACGUUCCCUUCGGGGACAUGGAUACAGGUGGUGCAUGGUUGUCGUCAGCUCGUGUCGUGAGAUGUUGGGUUAAGUCCCGCAACGAGCGCAACCCUUAUUAUCAGUUGCCAGCAUUAAGUUGGGCACUCUGGUGAGACUGCCGGUGACAAACCGGAGGAAGGUGGGGAUGACGUCAAAUCAUCAUGCCCCUUAUGACCUGGGCUACACACGUGCUACAAUGGAUGGUACAACGAGUUGCGAACUCGCGAGAGUAAGCUAAUCUCUUAAAGCCAUUCUCAGUUCGGAUUGUAGGCUGCAACUCGCCUACAUGAAGUCGGAAUCGCUAGUAAUCGCGGAUCAGCAUGCCGCGGUGAAAUACGUUCCCGGGCCUUGUACACACCGCCCGUCACACCAUGAGAGUUUGUAACACCCAAAGUCGGUGGGGUAACCUUUUAGGAACCAGCCGCCUAAGGUGGGACAGAUGAUUAGGGUGAAGUCGUAC
This 1520-nucleotide ribosomal RNA is filed under the name Lactiplantibacillus plantarum. RNAcentral describes it as "Lactobacillus plantarum partial 16S ribosomal RNA". It matches the Rfam family "Bacterial small subunit ribosomal RNA". The record is from RNAcentral. Lineage: Bacteria; Bacillati; Bacillota; Bacilli; Lactobacillales; Lactobacillaceae.